This 106-nucleotide non-coding RNA is filed under the name Sulfitobacter sp. RNAcentral describes it as "TPP sequence". It matches the Rfam family "TPP riboswitch aptamer (THI element)". From Rfam's summary of the family: Vitamin B(1) in its active form thiamin pyrophosphate (TPP) is an essential coenzyme that is synthesised by coupling of pyrimidine and thiazole moieties in bacteria. Lineage: Bacteria; Pseudomonadati; Pseudomonadota; Alphaproteobacteria; Rhodobacterales; Roseobacteraceae. The record is from RNAcentral.
GGACAUAACCAGGGGUGCUCCGUUCAGGGGCUGAGAUGCGCAACCGCGCGAACCCUUCACAGCUGAUCUGGAUAAUACCAGCGGAGCGAGGAGCCAGCAUGUUCAU